This 491-nucleotide ribosomal RNA is filed under the name uncultured bacterium. RNAcentral's name for it is "partial 16S ribosomal RNA". It matches the Rfam family "Bacterial small subunit ribosomal RNA", at positions 29 to 507 of the family's 1533-position model. The record is from RNAcentral.
GUGAACGCUGGCGGUAGGCCUAACACAUGCAAGUCGAACGGCAGCACAGUAAGAGCUUGCUCUUACGGGUGGCGAGUGGCGGACGGGUGAGGAAUACAUCGGAAUCUACUUUUUCGUGGGGGAUAACGUAGGGAAACUUACGCUAAUACCGCAUACGACCUACGGGUGAAAGCAGGGGAUCUUCGGACCUUGCGCGAUUGAAUGAGCCGAUGUCGGAUUAGCUAGUUGGCGGGGUAAAGGCCCACCAAGGCGACGAUCCGUAGCUGGUCUGAGAGGAUGAUCAGCCACACUGGAACUGAGCCACGGUCCAGACUCCUACGGGAGGCAGCAGUGGGGAAUAUUGGACAAUGGGCGCAAGCCUGAUCCAGCCAUACCGCGUGGGUGAAGAAGGCCUUCGGGUUGUAAAGCCCUUUUGUUGGGAAAGAAAAGCAGCAGGUUAAUACCCCGCUGUUCUGACGGUACCCAAAGAAUAAGCACCGGCUAACUUCGUG